GGUGGUGGAUUAAGUCAGAUGUGAAAGCCCGGGGCUCAACCUCGGAACCGCAUUUGAAACUGGUGAACUAGAGUGCUGUAGAGGGGGGUAGAANNNNAGGUGUAGCGGUGAAAUGCGUAGAGAUCUGAAGGAAUACCAGUGGCGAAGGCGGCCCCCUGGACAGACACUGACACUCAGAUGCGAAAGCGUGGGGAGCA
Molecule: ribosomal RNA, 197 nt
Filed under: uncultured bacterium
Lineage: Bacteria
Description: partial 16S ribosomal RNA
Rfam family: Bacterial small subunit ribosomal RNA
Source: RNAcentral